UGCACAGAACAAGUUAUGUAAUAGUCACACGUGGGGUUACCUGCAAUGCAGAACUAUGAAGCAAUUAACUCUCAUUGAUCUAAUAGUUACAGUAAUCACAGAAUAAUAGAAAGCUAAAACAUCUUUGCACGGGCCCUACAUUUUCCAAUUACCACACAACUAUGUAAUUAUUAUAACUAUGCACGAAGCUACCAUUUGCAUUUGGUUUGGAUUUUGCAGUCCCAGAUGUGGAUGUUAUUGAAAAUAAGAGAAACAUACACUCCUUGUGAGUUCUUGCUUGGUUCAAAAAGGUACAUGAGCCUCCAGUCUGAUUAAUCUUAUAUGGUGGAAUAGGCUAAAUAGCAUAAAUUCCUUCAAAAGUCCAUGGGACUUCUGCUCCAAAAUCACUUAAGCACUUCAAAAGUCUCAUCCACCAGCAAGGAU
Dermochelys coriacea (leatherback sea turtle) is the source of this 423-nucleotide long non-coding RNA. RefSeq lists it as uncharacterized. The record is from RefSeq and is a predicted model, not a curated record. NCBI's taxonomy places the organism in Eukaryota, Metazoa, Chordata, Testudines, Dermochelyidae. The transcript is spliced from 2 exons.